AGGGCUGGGCUCCUGCUGCCGGGAUGAGACAGCACUGUCCUGCUCCUGUCCCCCCAGCCCCUGCAGUGGCCUGGCCCUGGGUGCAGAUCCCAGCUGAGGAGGGAGCCGGGGCCACGCUCUUCACCCUCAGCCUCUUCCUUGGGUGAUGGGCCCCGCCUGGGGCCUGUGGUCCUGGGGCCAGGAUUCUGGGGUUACUCUGCCGCUCCUGGCUGUGUGGCUUGGGGCAGUUACCUGACCUCUCUGGGCCUCAGCUUUUGCUCCUCUGUAAAAUGGGGUAACAGGCCCCGCCUGGUGGGAGUGCUGUCCAGAGGGAGCUGGCUCCGGUCCAGGGGAUCCCCCGGGGUACAGGCACGGGGUUGGCCUUCGUGGUUGUGUUCCGGGUGAGCUGAUCUGUGAAGGCCCGUGCUCGGUCGUGUGCGAACCCUGGCCCAGUGUGCCAGCCCCUCAGCCCCCUGCCUCCUGAGCGCCCUGGGCGGGUCCUGGUCCCUGUGGGACCUGGUGCUCCCCUCCCUGUCUCCCGUCCUCCCUGGGCCUGGCUCCCAGACCUCUCAGCCGGCCAAAGCGCAUUGAGUCUGGGCUGGGGACAGAGCUGGGGACAGAGGGGAACCUGGCCUGGGCCUGAGGGGCAGGGACUGCCAGAGAGGGGCUGGAGCCUGUCCCGCCUCGGCCUCGCCUGCGGUCCCUCCUGGUGGCCAUGCAGGACUCUGAUCCAGUCACAUGAAGGUCUGUGAGUAAACCCUGUCCGUCGGCCUCGAUCCCAGUCCAGUUGUCUGUCCUGCGCAUGAGCUGCCCGGGCAGCCUUGAGCUGUCCCCCGGCCGGCUGGCAGGAGCCUCUAGGAACGCCACACGGUCCCAGGGGCUGACCUGCGUGGAGCGUCGCUGCCCUGCCACGCCGUCCUUCCAUGGUCUCCCUAACACUGGGGACACUGCAGCCCCCCACUUCCUAAAUGAGAAGCUGAGGUCACACAGAGGAAAAGGACCCGGGAUCCCGAGUCGGCCUGCCCGGGAGCCGCGCUGUGUUCUCUUGCUAUGUGACACCCCUGAGCCUUAGGAGCUGGCAGUCACUACGGAUCUCGCUCCCAGGGCAGCCCCUGGGCCCGCUCGGUGGGUCCUGGAGGGUCCUUUUCCAAUAGUCACUUGGGGAAUCCUCUGGUUCACUGCAGUCCCCAGCCUCCUGACCUGGCCUCUCUGGGCCCUGGAGUGGGCAAACCCCAGGUCACCGGUUUGAAGACAUUCAAGUGACUUGGUGGGGGGUGACAAUCAGCCCAGGGUGAUGGUGACCAGCAGAGUUUGGGGCGUCCAGCCGGAAGGCACGUGGGGGGCCACCUGGAGCAUGCGCUCUGUGGGGGGAGUGGUCCUGGAGGACUUCCCGGAGGAGGUGGCGCCUGGGCUGAGUUAGGAAAGCUCUGCUCCUGUGGCCUCCUCCGAAGCUGGCUCUGUCCUCUGCUCACCGACACCUGGACGCGGAGAUGAGGAAGGAGCGAGGGGGAGCCUUCCCCAGUCCACUCUGAACCCCCAUCCCGGGGGCCAGACUGAGGCUCUGGGUGGGCAGUGGUCUGAAGGACGCUCCAGGAGGACAGACGCUCAAGGUCCCGUCCUGGACGGCGGGCCCCAGGGCCUCCACUUCCCCAUCAGCACCGCACAGCGACCCGAAGGCAGCCCGAGUGACAGCCGAGGGAGGACAUGUGUCCUGAGGCCCCUCAGCCGCCCAUGGUGGCGCAGGAUGGUGGCUGGACCCCAGGGCAGCUCGUGUGGAGAGGGGGCUGCUGGGAGGGAGGCCGGAUGGGGAGUCGGUGAGGACCAGAGGACCCUCUGAGCACCCCGGGGCGAGGUCACGGGGAGGGGCCUUGAGGCCACCGCUCAGGUUCUGUUAGAGCCUUAGGAUUGGUGGCAGCGGGGCCUCUGCAUACCGCGGCCUUGGGGACAAGGACCCCAAGGUGUCACCUCCCAAGAUGCCGCCCUCCCGCUCUCAGGAAACUGC
This 1981-nucleotide long non-coding RNA is filed under the name Marmota monax (woodchuck). The record is from RNAcentral. Lineage: Eukaryota; Metazoa; Chordata; Mammalia; Rodentia; Sciuridae.